Molecule: ribosomal RNA, 137 nt
Filed under: Escherichia coli
Lineage: Bacteria; Pseudomonadati; Pseudomonadota; Gammaproteobacteria; Enterobacterales; Enterobacteriaceae
Description: partial 16S ribosomal RNA
Rfam family: Bacterial small subunit ribosomal RNA
Source: RNAcentral
AGUGGGUUGCAAAAGAAGUAGGUAGCUUAACCUUCGGGAGGGCGCUUACCACUUUGUGAUUCAUGACUGGGGUGAAGUCGUAACAAGGUAACCGUAGGGGAACCUGCGGUUGGAUCACCUCCUUACCCUAAAGAAGC